Molecule: ribosomal RNA, 497 nt
Filed under: uncultured bacterium
Lineage: Bacteria
Description: partial 16S ribosomal RNA
Rfam family: Bacterial small subunit ribosomal RNA
Source: RNAcentral
GAUGAACGCUGGCGGCGUGCCUAACACAUGCAAGUCGAGCGAACGGACGAGAAGCUUGCUUUUCUGAUGUUAGCGGCGGACGGGUGAGUAACACGUGGAUAAUCUACCUAUAAGUCUGGGAAAACUUCGGGAAACCGGAGCUUAUACCGGAUAAUAUUUUGAACCGCAUGGUUCAAAAGUGAAAGACGGUCUUGCUGUCACUUAUAGAUGGAUCCGCGCUGCAUUAGCUAGUUGGUAAGGUAACGGCUUACCAAGGCAACGAUGCAUAGACGACCGGAGAGGGUGAUCGGCCACACUGGAGCUGAAACACGGUCCAGACGACUAAGAGAGGCAGCAGUAGGGAAUCUUCCGCAAUGGGCGAAAGCCUGACGGAGCAGCGCCGCGUGAGAGAUGAAGGUCUUCCGAUCGUAAAACUCUGUUAUUAGGGAAGAACAUAUGUGUACGUAACUGUGCACAUCUUGACGGUACCUAAUCAGAAAGCCACGGCUAACUACGUG